This 480-nucleotide ribosomal RNA is filed under the name uncultured bacterium. RNAcentral's name for it is "partial 16S ribosomal RNA". It matches the Rfam family "Bacterial small subunit ribosomal RNA", at positions 28 to 507 of the family's 1533-position model. The record is from RNAcentral.
GACGAACGCUGGCGGCGCGCUUAACACAUGCAAGUCGAGCGAUGAAACUUUAACAGAACCCUUCGGGGCGAAGAUAAAGUGGAUUAGCGGCGGACGGGUGAGUAACACGUGAGUAACCUGCAUUAGACAUUGGGAUAGCCUCGGGAAACCGGGAUUAAUACCAACUAAAAUCAUAAUGACACAUGUCAUAACGAUCAAAACUCCGGUGGUCUAAGAUGGAUUCGCGUCCCAUUAGCUAGUUGGUAGAGUAAAAGCCUACCAAGGCGACGAUGGGUAGCCGGGCGGAGAGGGUGAAACGCUACGUUGGAACUGAGAAACGGUCCAAACUCCUACGGAAGGGAGCAGUGGGGAAUAUUGCACAAUGGAGGGAACUCUGAUGCAGCGACGCCGCGGGAACGAAGAAGGCUUUCGAGUCGUAAAGUUCUUUUAUAUGGGAAGAGAAUGACGGUACCAUAAGAAAAAGCCCCGGCUAACUACGUG